UGGGGAAUAUUGGACAAUGGGCGCAAGCCUGAUCCAGCCAUGCCGCGUGAGUGACGAAGGUCUUCGGAUUGUAAAGCUCUUUUGGCGGGGACGAUAAUGACGGUACCCGCAGAAUAAGCCCCGGCUAACUUCGUGCCAGCAGCCGCGGUAAUACGAAGGGGGCUAGCGUUGUUCGGAAUUACUGGGCGUAAAGCGCACGUAGGCGGACUGAUAAGUCAGGGGUGAAAUCCCGGGGCUCAACCUCGGAACUGCCUUUGAUACUGUUAGUCUCGAGUCCGGAAGAGGUGAGUGGAAUUCCUAGUGUAGAGGUGAAAUUCGUAGAUAUUAGGAAGAACACCAGUGGCGAAGGCGGCUCACUGGUCCGGUACUGACGCUGAGGUGCGAAAGCGUGGGGAGCAAACAGGAUUAGAUACCCUCGUAGUCCUGAGCGGGCUGGCAAGGCGCAU
Molecule: ribosomal RNA, 446 nt
Filed under: uncultured bacterium
Lineage: Bacteria
Description: bacterial SSU rRNA
Rfam family: Bacterial small subunit ribosomal RNA
Source: RNAcentral